AUACGUAGGGGGCAAGCGUUGUCCGGAUUUACUGGGUUUAAAGGGUGCGUAGGCUGUUCGCUAAGUCAGCGGUGAAAUGGCGCGGCUCAACCGUGCAGCUGCCGUUGAAACUGGCGGGCUUGAGUGGGUUCGAGGCAGGCGGAAUGCGCGGUGUAGCGGUGAAAUGCAUAGAUAUCAGAUAGAACACCAAUGGCGAAGGCAGUCAACUGGUCCGUUACUGACGCUAAAGCACGAAAGUGUGGGGAGC
Molecule: ribosomal RNA, 247 nt
Filed under: uncultured bacterium
Lineage: Bacteria
Description: partial 16S ribosomal RNA
Rfam family: Bacterial small subunit ribosomal RNA
Source: RNAcentral